RNAcentral lists this long non-coding RNA (445 nucleotides) under Homo sapiens (human). Its description in RNAcentral is "HSALNT0285370". The record is from RNAcentral. Lineage: Eukaryota; Metazoa; Chordata; Mammalia; Primates; Hominidae.
UUGAAACCUGGCAAGGCUUAUCUACCUAGACCUUCGGAGUGGCUGUGGGGCUGCUACCAGGAAAUUUCGGGGACAUUUCUUGUACUCAGGGCUGGUGCUAUGGGAGAGCUGGAGGUUGCUGUCACCUAUGAGACCAUGCAGUUUUGGAGGGGCACAAUUUGAAUCCAGCUAUCAUUUUGGACUGGCUUUAGGUUCUUUUGGUGAGUAGACGAUAUCUGAAGUGCUGCACCCACAUUAUGACUAUGUGCCUACUCACAAGAAGAUGGCAAAGAUGAAGACUUUUAUGAUGAUCCACUUCCACUUAAUGAACAGCUGAAGCCCCUUCACCUUCUGCCAUGAGUGGAAGCAGCCUGAGGACCUCACCAAAGGCAGAUUCUGGUGCCAUGCUCCUUGUCCAAUCUGCAGAACUAUGAGCCAAAUAAACCAUUUUUCUUUAUAAAUUACC